GACGAACGCUGGCGGCGUGCUUAACACAUGCCAGUCGAACGGAAAGGCCUUUUCGGAGGUACUCGAGUGGCGAACGGGUGAGUAACACGUGGGUGAUCUGCCCUGCACUCUGGGAUAAGCCUGGGAAACUGGGUCUAAUACCGGAUAGGACCGCACUUUAGUGUGUGUGGUGGGAAGUUUUUUCGGUGUAGGAUGAGCCCGCGGCCUAUCAGCUUGUUGGUGGGGUAAUGGCCUACCAAGGCGGCGACGGGUAGCCGGACUGAGAGGUUGGUCGGCCACAUUGGGACUGAGAUACGGCCCAGACUCCUACGGGAGGCAGCAGGGGGGAAUAUUGCACAAUGGGCGCAAGCCUGAUGCAGCGACGCCGCGUGGGGGAUGACGGCCUUCGGGUUGUAAACUCCUUUCGCCAGGGACGAAGCGUUUUGUGACGGUACCUGGAGAAGAAGCACCGGCUAACUACGUG
RNAcentral lists this ribosomal RNA (463 nucleotides) under uncultured bacterium. Its description in RNAcentral is "partial 16S ribosomal RNA". It matches the Rfam family "Bacterial small subunit ribosomal RNA", at positions 28 to 507 of the family's 1533-position model. The record is from RNAcentral.